GGGGGGCCUAUACAUGCAAGUCGAGCGGACAGAUGGGAGCUUGCUCCCUGAUGUUAGCGGCGGACGGGUGAGUAACACGUGGGUAACCUGCCUGUAAGACUGGGAUAACUCCGGGAAACCGGGGCUAAUACCGGAUGGUUGUUUGAACCGCAUGGUUCAAACAUAAAAGGUGGCUUCGGCUACCACUUACAGAUGGACCCGCGGCGCAUUAGCUAGUUGGUGAGGUAACGGCUCACCAAGGCAACGAUGCGUAGCCGACCUGAGAGGGUGAUCGGCCACACUGGGACUGAGACACGGCCCAGACUCCUACGGGAGGCAGCAGUAGGGAAUCUUCCGCAAUGGACGAAAGUCUGACGGAGCAACGCCGCGUGAGUGAUGAAGGUUUUCGGAUCGUAAAGCUCUGUUGUUAGGGAAGAACAAGUACCGUUCGAAUAGGGCGGUACCUUGACGGUACCUAACCAGAAAGCCACGGCUAACUACGUGCCAGCAGCCGCGGUAAUACGUAGGUGGCAAGCGUUGUCCGGAAUUAUUGGGCGUAAAGGGCUCGCAGGCGGUUUCUUAAGUCUGAUGUGAAAGCCCCCGGCUCAACCGGGGAGGGUCAUUGGAAACUGGGGAACUUGAGUGCAGAAGAGGAGAGUGGAAUUCCACGUGUAGCGGUGAAAUGCGUAGAGAUGUGGAGGAACACCAGUGGCGAAGGCGACUCUCUGGUCUGUAACUGACGCUGAGGAGCGAAAGCGUGGGGAGCGAACAGGAUUAGAUACCCUGGUAGUCCACGCCGUAAACGAUGAGUGCUAAGUGUUAGGGGGUUUCCGCCCCUUAGUGCUGCAGCUAACGCAUUAAGCACUCCGCCUGGGGAGUACGGUCGCAAGACUGAAACUCAAAGGAAUUGACGGGGGCCCGCACAAGCGGUGGAGCAUGUGGUUAAUUCGAAGCAACGCGAAAAACCUUACCAGGU
RNAcentral lists this ribosomal RNA (955 nucleotides) under Bacillus subtilis. RNAcentral's name for it is "bacterial SSU rRNA". It matches the Rfam family "Bacterial small subunit ribosomal RNA", at positions 41 to 979 of the family's 1533-position model. The record is from RNAcentral. Lineage: Bacteria; Bacillati; Bacillota; Bacilli; Caryophanales; Bacillaceae.